AGGAUGAACGCUGGCGGCGUGCUUAACACAUGCAAGUCGAACGAUGAAGGCUGGAGCUUGCUCUGGCUGGAUUAGUGGCGAACGGGUGAGUAACACGUGAGUAACCUGCCCCAGACUCUGGGAUAAGCGCUGGAAACGGCGUCUAAUACCGGAUACGAGCUUCCACCGCAUGGUGAGGAGCUGGAAAGAAUUUCGGUCUGGGAUGGACUCGCGGCCUAUCAGCUUGUUGGUGAGGUAAUGGCUCACCAAGGCGACGACGGGUAGCCGGCCUGAGAGGGUGACCGGCCACACUGGACUGAGACACGGCCCAGACUCCUACGGGAGCAGCAGUGGGGAAUA
RNAcentral lists this ribosomal RNA (339 nucleotides) under uncultured soil bacterium. Its description in RNAcentral is "bacterial SSU rRNA". It matches the Rfam family "Bacterial small subunit ribosomal RNA", at positions 26 to 363 of the family's 1533-position model. The record is from RNAcentral.